UUACGGACAUAUCAAUUUUGAAACACCGGUUCCCGCACGAUCACCAAAGUUAAACAACGUCGAGCAUGGUCAUUACUUAGAUGGGUGACCGAUUGGGAAUAUCAGGUAUU
Non-coding RNA from Acanthosepion pharaonis, 110 nucleotides. The record is from the annotation of a GenBank genome assembly. Lineage: Eukaryota; Metazoa; Mollusca; Cephalopoda; Sepiida; Sepiidae.